RNAcentral lists this ribosomal RNA (700 nucleotides) under uncultured bacterium. Its description in RNAcentral is "bacterial SSU rRNA". It matches the Rfam family "Bacterial small subunit ribosomal RNA", at positions 9 to 687 of the family's 1533-position model. The record is from RNAcentral.
GAGUUUGAUCCUGGCUCAGAAUCAACGCUGGCGGCGUGCCUCAGACAUGCAAGUCGAACGAGAAAGUCCCCUUCGGGGGAUAAGUAAAGUGGCGUCCGGGUGAGUAACACGUAGGUAAUCUACCUUCGGGUGGGGAAUAACCCAGGGAAACUUGGGCUAACACCGCAUAAUGCAGCGGCACCACAUGGUGACAGUUGUUAAAGCGGGGGAUUUUAGGACCUCGCGCCUGAAGAGGAGCCUGCGGCGGAUUAGCUUGUUGGUAAGGUAACGGCUUACCAAGGCGACGAUCCGUAGCCGGCCUGAGAGGGCGGUCGGCCACACUGACACUGACAUACGGGUCAGACUCCUACGGGAGGCAGCAGUCGGGAAUUUUGGGCAAUGGGCGAAAGCCUGACCCAGCAACGCCGCGUGAAGGAUGAAAUCCCUCGGGAUGUAAACUUCGCAAGAAUGGGAAGAAUUAGUAGGGGCUAAUACCCCCUAUGAUGACGGUACCAUUUGUAAGCUCCGGCUAACUCCGUGCCAGCAGCCGCGGUAAUACGGGGGGAGCAAGCGUUGUUCGGAUUUACUGGGCGUAAAGGGCGCGUAGGCGGCCAGCGCAAGUCAGUUGUGAAAUCUCCGGGCUUAACUCGGAAAGGUCAACUGAUACUGCGCGGCUAGAGUGCGGAAGGGGCAACUGGAAUUCUCGGUGUAGCGGUGAAAU